AGCAGUGGGGAAUUUUGGACAAUGGGCGCAAGCCUGAUCCAGCAAUGCCGCGUGAGUGAAGAAGGCCUUCGGGUUGUAAAGCUCUUUUGUCAGGGAAGAAACGGUGAGGGCUAAUAUCUCUUGCUAAUGACGGUACCUGAAGAAUAAGCACCGGCUAACUACGUGCCAGCAGCCGCGGUAAUACGUAGGGUGCAAGCGUUAAUCGGAAUUACUGGGCGUAAAGCGUGCGCAGGCGGUUUUGUAAGUUUGUCGUGAAAGCCCCGGGCUCAACCUGGGAAUUGCGAUGAAGACUGCAAGGCUUGAAUCUGGCAGAGGGGGGUAGAAUUCCACGUGUAGCAGUGAAAUGCGUAGAGAUGUGGAGGAACACCGAUGGCGAAGCAGCCCCCUGGGUCAGAUUGACGCUCAUG
RNAcentral lists this ribosomal RNA (407 nucleotides) under uncultured bacterium. Its description in RNAcentral is "bacterial SSU rRNA". It matches the Rfam family "Bacterial small subunit ribosomal RNA", at positions 350 to 751 of the family's 1533-position model. The record is from RNAcentral.